GAGAGCGGAGAGCCACAGGAUCCUUUCCGUCUAGGACUUCGUGUUCAUUUAGCGAGCUCUGUGAAGAAGAGAAGCUGCUCGUGACUUAGGGAGGUACAAAGUCGGCUUGUUAUACGUUUACGAGAAGGUCGAACCGGAACCAAAGGAUAACGAACGUCGUGUCAUACGUGGCCCUUAACGCCGAGGAUCGAGUGUCACGGCUGCUGUCACACCUUUACAGCUCUAUGGUAUGGGUAAACCUUAGCUAGGACCAACGAGCGAUUGUGUUCGGAAGCUGGAGUCGACAUUCCAGGUUCUACCGUAGGGUUUCGGUAAGUCACCGCGGAAACUCCACGAGCUGUAAAGAAACUGAGUUCCGUGUUGCGCCCACGACUUAAUGUAGAACCCGAUGACGAUAUUGUGGAGGUGGCCCUCGUACCUCAUAAAACCGACCAGGCCCCCCAAGCCUCCUCUAGGAAGAAGAGGGAUGGCCGAGAGGGUGUGGGUCUUGUCCAAGUGCCAGUAGCCCACGUCGCGGGAGCGGAACUAUAGGCUGAUGCUACCGUGCCCGAUGGUCCCGAACCCGCAGCGUUGUACGGCGUUAAACAGUCUGAACCACCUGCCUAGGACGAGUCCAUACCCGACGAGGGUCUGGUGUUAUGGUUUUUCCUACAUGAUGAUGCUGUGUUGAAAGAGCCGAAGCCAAUUGUGUUCAGUUUAAACCCUCAAGUUGGCGACGUCGAUACGUCAUGAUUACCUCCGUCGUCGUAAACUCAAGUCGUGAUACAUACACUUGUGUUUGUUUAAGUUACUGUGUAUAUUACCUGCCCACGGAUACUAAGAACUGACCCGAUAUUCUCUACACUUCAGUACACUACGACGUUUUGUCUUAUGUUGGCCAUGAAUGCGUACGGAGUCGCGGUUGUAGUUCACACACCUAAGGUGGUUACUGGUUCCCAUGUGGACGUUAACGUGGCUACCAAUACUUCCGUUGGGAAUAGAAGUUCUGCCUACGUUUCCUCAAUGUUACCCUAAUAAACCAAACUACCAAUAGCAGUACUAGUGAUAGAAGACCCCUGUUUACUAUUAAGUUUUCUCUUUGGACCUAUUUCAAUUCGUCCUCAUAAAGGCGUUCGUACCUCCGCACGAAAACAAACUAUUCUACUUUAGCCUCUUUCCAGACCGAAAGUUACAUAAAAGUCUUCGUCUUGAGUAUGUACGGUGGCUGUUGAAGCUGUCAUCGUCUUAUUAACCUUUUCCUCCGGUACCCUGCCAGAUAUUUCCAUAUUAUUUCUUGUACGGCCAACGUUAAUUUUCUACACGUCAUCAACUGCUCUCUGUCUUCUUCCUUAAACCGGUCCUCUACGAGUAAAACAGGGUUUAGUUAGUGUUCUUGCAACAGUUUGAGAACCCAACAACGGAACUCCACCUUCAAGGUUAAGAUCAUAUACUUAAACAGGAUUUACCAUGUGAUAAACUCGAAUAGGUACCGUUCUUGGUUCGUAACGUUUAUAGAAAGUUGUGAGAGAAUUCCUAACGAGUACUUCGUCGACUUCCUGAGUCGAAGAACGUAAACAUACGUAGAGGGGGUUAUUAAGUACCACUACACUUUUCAAGGUUGUAGGACGAACUACUAUUGGUGUACCGGUUUCACAGUCUGAAGCCUCGGAGGUAUGAUCGCGGUAGACUGUUUCUCGUUAAACAGUGUUACCAAGUUCCAUGAACGCCAAUGGAACUAGGGCUUAUAUACGUUUGUACGGUCAAUUGUCUGUUUUCGCUACACAUGUCAAAACCUCAAUAAGAAGAUCUCUAAGAGUGUCCGGUCGACGGUGACUUCGAGCUCCCCAGACUCUUCGUUUCUUCGAACAGUAACUAAAAGAACAGACGUUACUUCCUCUUAUUAGAUCUUCGACACAACCACUUGGUGCACUUUCCGGUUCUCUCGUACCUCAACAACUCUCCUGAACGUCUGGACCGAUUCUUUACGGAUCUGUACACACCGCUGUUGUCUGGGAGGUACUUUCUCCAGCGGCUACUUGAGUUGUCUAACUCCUUUGAGAGUGACGUAGGGACCCAUGCCGAGCCGCAGCUCUGACUUCAUCUUUUGGAAGAACCUCCUCUAUGAUGACCACCCAUACUUUAUCUUAAUUCACCAAUAGGAUACCCGCUCUCACUCUUGGUUGGGUAUUUGGGAUCUUCAAGGAUAAUACGUUCCACUCCUUUUGUACAUAACAUUAGCCAAUUUGGAUGGCUUCUAUGAAUACAAGGAAGAUAUGGAACAAUGUUACACAUUAUAGAUGCAAGGAAGACUUAGAACAAUGGUACAUAAUCUUGAAUAUUUAAUG
This 2324-nucleotide ribosomal RNA is filed under the name Triticum aestivum (bread wheat). RNAcentral's name for it is "partial small subunit ribosomal RNA". The record is from RNAcentral. Lineage: Eukaryota; Viridiplantae; Streptophyta; Magnoliopsida; Poales; Poaceae.